AUUGAACGCUGGCGGCAGGCCUAACACAUGCAAGUCGAGCGGAUGAAGGGAGCUUGCUCCUGGAUUCAGCGGCGGACGGGUGAGUAAUGCCUAGGAAUCUGCCUGGUAGUGGGGGAUAACGUCCGGAAACGGGCGCUAAUACCGCAUACGUCCUGAGGGAGAAAGUGGGGGAUCUUCGGACCUCACGCUAUCAGAUGAGCCUAGGUCGGAUUAGCUAGUUGGUGGGGUAAAGGCCUACCAAGGCGACGAUCCGUAACUGGUCUGGGAGGAUGAUCAGUCACACUGGAACUGAGACACGGUCCAGACUCCUACGGGAGGCAGCAGUGGGGAAUAUUGGACAAUGGGCGAAAGCCUGAUCCAGCCAUGCCGCGUGUGUGAAGAAGGUCUUCGGAUUGUAAAGCACAUUAAGUUGGGAGGAAGGGCAGUAAGUUAAUACCUUGCUGUUUUGACGUUACCAACAGAAUAAGCACCGGCUAACUUCGUG
Molecule: ribosomal RNA, 484 nt
Filed under: uncultured bacterium
Lineage: Bacteria
Description: partial 16S ribosomal RNA
Rfam family: Bacterial small subunit ribosomal RNA
Source: RNAcentral